UGCUUUUGCAAAAACUAAUAGCUAAGUUAUUUUAUAUCCUGGAACACAGGAAUUGCUGGUCUACUUUUGUCUUUUUUGCUACUGUGUGACUUUGGUAAAUCCAAACUAACCCUUUAAAACACCAGAGUCACACACUAACACAAACUAACUAGCAGAUCAAGAGAGUGGUAGACCAGCAACCACAGUGAAGUGUGGUUGGUUUGGAGAGAGCAAUAUUUGGUUUAUAUGAAAGUGGCGUCCCAUCAGAAAAGGAGUGUCUGUUGGCAAGGUGAAGCAGUGACAAUAGUCUAAAUACAGCAUACACUUGCUUACACAGCUGAUCAUCUAAUGUUGGUAAUACAAUGACUUUGGAUCUCACAGUACCUCAUACACCCCACUUCAAACAGUCCACCUAUCCCUUUAAAAUCAUUAGAUAAACAUGUGAACUCUGUUGAAGGGUGACACUAGUGAUUCCUAUAAACUCAACAGAAAAUAUUUACAGUAAUAAUUAUUUUAAGUUAAAUAAAUGUUUUAAUACUGAAAUGUGAUUCUGCUUUUGUGUUCAACAGAUUUGUGCAGAGUUCUACCGUGUCAUCACCAAGGAGCUAUUGGGGAUCUUCAGAUCAGCCUCAGAUGAGUACUCUACUCGCCAUUGGUCAAGAAAUGGAAAAACUCCUUGACAAGCUUGAUUACCAGACAUCUGACAUUGGAGUACACAGAAGGAACACAUCCCUGCAAGGUAUACCCCUGUUUCUUCACAAGGAUUCAGAGAAGCUCUUCAGGACAUGCUUGGUGAGUACAGUAGGAGGCUCAACAUUUUUAGAUUUGUGGGAAGGAAUUGGUUCCUAAUUUUUAAUUUUCAGUAAUCUCUAAAUUUGGCACCACCUUCAUGUUUUUAUCAGGAAACUGAUCCAGAUGACAGUCAGACAAGAGGACUCAAGAUUGGUAUCCUCACUGUCCUUGAAGAUGAUGGUGCCCCUACCUUGCUGUCCAGAGUCCAGAAUAUUGCUGUUUUGUUGGAAGAGGACAUUGUCCUCACAGAUCUCCCAGACCUCCCCACUGCGUUCGCCUUACUGUUUGGCCUGCUCUAUGCCUUGAACAUCAAUUUCCCCAAAGAAAACAGGUACACCUUUGAAGUGAUCGAGACCAUCUUUAUGAAACUUUCCACCAACUGCACACAGCGUGUCAGGAGCCUCAAAACCAAGCUUUUACUGUAAGUCAGCUAAAACCUGACUCAAAAAGUCAAUACUAUUUCUUAAAGCGAUACUUAACAUUUUUUUUCUUGUAAUUAGCCUCUCAACCGAGAUCCAGACAAGAGGAUAGAUAUCAUUUUUUAGACUGUGCGUGCAUUAACAAGAAACAGAUGUGUAGAGAUCACCCAGCGCUAAUUAGCUUAACUCCAAUGAACGGUAGUAAACGGGAUUCACUCUGCUUAGUCAUCAGAUAAACUUUUCAACGGUGUAAACGGUCCUGUUUGCUUGAAAAAGACAACAAAAUAAAAUGUCUGUCCUUCUCCUCGUACAUAGACAUUUUAUUUUGUUGACUACUUCUUCCUGUUGUUCUUGUGCUGUUGCUGCACUUUACUUCCUGUAAGUAUUUGAUUAAAAAUAACAUCACUCGCUAAUCUGACUCUAAAAAUAACAUAACUGGGUAAAUAAACAAAUCACAACAAGCAAACAGGACCGUUUACACCGUUGGAAAGUUUAUCUGAUGACUAAGCGGAGUGAAUCCCGUUUACUACCGUUCAUUGGAGCUAAGCUAAUUAGCGGUGGGUGAUCUCUACACAUCUGUUUCUUGUAAAUUCACGAAAAAAUGUUAUCCUCUUGUCUGGAUCGGGGUUGAGAGGCUAAUAACCAGAAGAAAAAAAAUGGUAGGAGAAUCGCUUUAUGUUGCUUUUGGCUACAUGCAGACGUGCAUGGCAAACUUUUUUGUUUUGUUUUUAUGGGUGUUUUAUUCAGUUGGAUAAUGCUGCCCAUUUUACAAUGUUAAAUUGUAUGCCUUUAACUGGCAUUGUUUUUUGAAAUUUUACAUAAAACUGUUGUGUUGUGAACCGCACAGGUUUUGCGUAUUUGUAUUUGACACGGCCACUUCAGAUAUGUCAGCAAUGUUGUUGCUGUUGUUACAAUUGUAAUGCACUGCACAAUGACAUGUUUACGAGAUGGUAAAUAUGUCUUGAUUGUAUUUGACCAUAGGUCAAUAACACUUGAAGUUACUAUUGUUAUGGAGCUACUUGUUCUGCACUUGGGUUUGCUGCAUUAAGACAGUGAUUCUCUGCUGCUGAAGUAGCUGUGGUACAUCUUGCUUGUUCUACUGCUGUCUGGCAUUCAGAAAUGUAAAAUGGAACAGUUUCCAAUUAUUACUUUUAAUAAAGUAUGAAGUAAACUUUAAACUUGUUUUGUAUUCUUUGAAGUGCAAUUUUAAAUGUUAUUAACCUUAACUUGAAAUAUUAAGUUAACA
This 2436-nucleotide long non-coding RNA is filed under the name Dicentrarchus labrax (European seabass). RNAcentral describes it as "lncRNA (ENSDLAG00005029018.1)". Lineage: Eukaryota; Metazoa; Chordata; Actinopteri; Moronidae. The record is from RNAcentral.